Molecule: transfer RNA, 27 nt
Filed under: Triticum aestivum (bread wheat)
Lineage: Eukaryota; Viridiplantae; Streptophyta; Magnoliopsida; Poales; Poaceae
Description: partial tRNA-Gly
Source: RNAcentral
AUACGGGUUCGAUUCCCGCCGCUCGCC